GAGGCAGAGCAAAUCGCUAAAAGCCGUCUCAGUUCGGAUUGCAGGCUGAAACCCGCCUGCAUGAAGUUGGAAUUGCUAGUAAUCGCGGAUCAGCAUGCCGCGGUGAAUACGUUCCCGGGCCUUGUACACACCGCCCGUCACACCAUGAGAGUCGGGAACACCCGAAGUCCGUAGUCUAACCCGCAAGGGAGGGCGCGGCCGAAGGUGGGUUCGAUAAUUGGGAUGAAGUCGUAACAAGGUAAC
This 243-nucleotide ribosomal RNA is filed under the name uncultured bacterium. RNAcentral's name for it is "partial 16S ribosomal RNA". It matches the Rfam family "Bacterial small subunit ribosomal RNA", at positions 1259 to 1500 of the family's 1533-position model. The record is from RNAcentral.